ACACCUCAACUCUUGCGGUUUUGCCGUGAUGAGCUUGGACUUUGGGGGUCUUGCUGGCCUGUGGUCAGCUCCUCUCAAAUGAAUCAGCUUGCCAGUGUUUGGUGGCGUCACGGGUGUGAUAACUAUCUACGCUUGUGGCUUCCACCAGGUAACCUUCAGUGAUGAAGGUUCGCUGGAGCUCAUAAACGUCUCUCCUCAGCGAGGACAGCUUCUUGAAC
This 218-nucleotide unclassified non-coding RNA is filed under the name Thelephoraceae sp. RNAcentral's name for it is "partial internal transcribed spacer 2". The record is from RNAcentral. Lineage: Eukaryota; Fungi; Basidiomycota; Agaricomycetes; Thelephorales; Thelephoraceae.